This 662-nucleotide ribosomal RNA is filed under the name uncultured Thermoplasmata archaeon. RNAcentral's name for it is "bacterial SSU rRNA". It matches the Rfam family "Archaeal small subunit ribosomal RNA", at positions 323 to 985 of the family's 1478-position model. The record is from RNAcentral. Lineage: Archaea; Methanobacteriati; Thermoplasmatota; Thermoplasmata.
CUACGGGGUGCAGCAGGGCGCGAAAACUACGCAAUGCGCGAAAGCGUGACGUGGGAACUCCAAGUGCCUUGCCUUAGGGUAAGGCUUUUGUUUAGUAUAAGUAGCUAAACGAAUAAGUGCUGGGUAAGACCGGUGCCAGCCGCCGCGGUAACACCGGCAGCACAAGUGGUGACCGCUUUUAUUGGGCCUAAAGCGUUCGUAGCCGGUUUGGUAAGUCUUUGGGUAAAUCCUUCGGCUUAACCGAAGGACUUCCGAAGAUACUGCCAGACUUGGAGUUGAGAGAAGUCAGAGGUACCUCUGGGGUAGGGGUGAAAUCCUAUAAUCCUGGGGGGACCACCAGUGGCGAAGGCGUCUGACUAGAGCAAGCUCGACGGUGAGGGACGAAAGCCAGGGGCGCGAACGGGAUUAGAUACCCCGGUAGUCCUGGCCGUAAACGCUGCGCGCUAGGUGUUGCAUGCUCUACGAGGGCGUGCAGUGCCGAAGAGAAGUUGAUAAGCGUGCCGCCUGGGAAGUAUUACCGCAAGGUAGAAACUUAAAGGAAUUGGCGGGGGAGCACCACAAGGGGUGGAGUCUGCGGUUCAAUUGGAUUCAACGCCGGGAAACUCACCGGGAGCGACGGCAGAAUGAUAGCCAAGCUGAUGACUUUGCUUGACGAGCCGAGA